ACGCUCGACACCUACUGGAGGCAGCAGUGGGGAAUAUUGCACAAUGGGGGAAACCCUGAUGCAGCGACGCCGCGUGAGCGAAGAAGUAUUUCGGUAUGUAAAGCUCUAUCAGCGAGGGAAGAAACUGACGGUACCUGACUAAGAAGCACCGGACUAAAUACGUGCCAGCAGCCGCGGUAAUCUGAGCGGGCUGGCAAGGC
RNAcentral lists this ribosomal RNA (200 nucleotides) under uncultured bacterium. RNAcentral's name for it is "partial 16S ribosomal RNA". It matches the Rfam family "Bacterial small subunit ribosomal RNA", at positions 328 to 539 of the family's 1533-position model. The record is from RNAcentral.